AACCUUAUGGACCUGCGGGCGUAUACCUGCGGAGGGAUCAUUACACAAUACAAUAUGAAGGCUGUCCGCAGCUGGAGUAUUUUAUUACCCUUGUCUUUUGCGCACUUGUUGUUUCCUGGGCGGGUUCGCUCGCCACCAGGACCACCAAAUAAACCUUUUUUAUGCAGUUGCAAUCAGCGUCAGUACAAACAAUGUAAAUCAUUUACAACUUUCAACAAUGGAUCUCAGAUCGGAAGAGCA
RNAcentral lists this unclassified non-coding RNA (240 nucleotides) under soil metagenome. Its description in RNAcentral is "partial contains 5.8S ribosomal RNA, internal transcribed spacer 2, and large subunit ribosomal RNA". The record is from RNAcentral.